Molecule: ribosomal RNA, 476 nt
Filed under: uncultured bacterium
Lineage: Bacteria
Description: bacterial SSU rRNA
Rfam family: Bacterial small subunit ribosomal RNA
Source: RNAcentral
GAUGAACGCUGGCGGCGUGCCUCAAACAUGCAAGUCGAGCGGGGCUAUGUAAUAUCGCAAGGUAGAACAUAGCCUAGCGGCGAACGGGUGAGUAACACGUGGGUAACCUGCCUGGAAGACAGGGAUAACGAUUCGAAAGGGUCGCUAAUACCUGAUAAUAUCCUUUCAUCGCAUGGUGAUAGGAAGAAAGGGGAAACCCGCUUUCAGAUGGGCCCGCGUCCCAUCAGCUAGUUGGUAAGGUAAAGGCUUACCAAGGCGACGACGGGUAGCCGGUCUGAGAGGAUGUACGGCCACACUGGGACUGAGAUACGGCCCAGACUCCUACGGGAGGCAGGCAGUUGGGAAUCUUAGGCAAUGGACGAAAGUCUGACCUAGCGACGCCGCGUGAGGGAAGAAGGGCCUUCGGGUUGUAAACCUCUGUCAUGGGGGAAGAAGUAAGUGACGGUACCCAAGAGGAAGCCCCUGCUAACUACGUG